UACGUAGGGUGCGAGCGUUAAUCGGAAUUACUGGGCGUAAAGCGUGCGCAGGCGGCGCGUUAAGACAGGUGUGAAAGCCCCGAGCUUAACUUGGGAAUUGCGCUUGUGACUGGCGUGCUGGAGUGUGGCAGAGGGAGGUGGAAUUCCACGUGUAGCAGUGAAAUGCGUAGAGAUGUGGAGGAACACCGAUGGCGAAGGCAGCCUCCUGGGCCGGUACUGACACUGAGGAGCGAAAGCGUGGGUAGCAAACAGG
Molecule: ribosomal RNA, 253 nt
Filed under: uncultured bacterium
Lineage: Bacteria
Description: partial 16S ribosomal RNA
Rfam family: Bacterial small subunit ribosomal RNA
Source: RNAcentral